RNAcentral lists this ribosomal RNA (495 nucleotides) under uncultured bacterium. RNAcentral describes it as "partial 16S ribosomal RNA". It matches the Rfam family "Bacterial small subunit ribosomal RNA", at positions 28 to 507 of the family's 1533-position model. The record is from RNAcentral.
GAUGAACGCUGGCGGCGUGCCUAAUACAUGCAAGUAGAACGCUGAAGGAGGAGCUUGCUCUUCUGGAUGAGUUGCGAACGGGUGAGUAACGCGUAGGUAACCUGCCUGGUAGCGGGGGAUAACUAUUGGAAACGAUAGCUAAUACCGCAUGACAACAGUUAUUGCAUGAUAACUGUUUAAAAGGGGCAACUGCUCCACUACCAGAUGGACCUGCGUUGUAUUAGCUAGUUGGUGAGGUAACGGCUCACCAAGGCGACGAUACAUAGCCGACCUGAGAGGGUGAUCGGCCACACUUGGACUGAGACACGGCCCAGACUCCUACGGGAGGCAGCAGUAGGGAAUCUUCGGCAAUGGACGGAAGUCUGACCGAGCAACGCCGCGUGAGUGAAGAAGGUUUUCGGAUCGUAAAGCUCUGUUGUAAGAGAAGAACGAGUGUGAGAGUGGAAAGUUCACACUGUGACGGUAUCUUACCAGAAAGGGACGGCUAACUACGUG